GAUGAACGCUGGCGGCGUGCUUAAUACAUGCAAGUCGAGCGAACAGGUGAGGAGCUUGCUCCUCUGUCGUUAGCCGAGGACGGGUGUGACACACGUGGAUACUCUCCUUAACAGUCUGGGAUCACCUCGGGAAUCGGGCGCUAAUACGGUAUAAUCUAUUGAACCGCAUGGUUGAAUAGUGAAAGACGGUUUUUCUGUAAUUACUCGAUGGUUCCGCGCCGCAUUAGCUAGUUGUUACGGUAAAGGCUUUUGAAGGAGACGAUGCUUAGCCGACGUGAGGGGGGGAUCGGCCACACUGGAACUGGAACAGGGACCAGACUCCUACGGGAGGCAGCAGUAGGGAACCGUCGGCAAUGGGCGAAAGCCUGACGGAGCAACGCCGCGUGAGAGAUGAAGGUCUUCGGAUCGGAAAACUCUGUUAUUAGGGAAGAACAAAUGUGGAAGUAACUAUGCACGUCUUGACGGUACCGGAUCAGAAAGCCACGGCUAACUACGUG
This 497-nucleotide ribosomal RNA is filed under the name uncultured bacterium. RNAcentral describes it as "partial 16S ribosomal RNA". It matches the Rfam family "Bacterial small subunit ribosomal RNA", at positions 28 to 507 of the family's 1533-position model. The record is from RNAcentral.